AUAAAGUUUAAUUUUAGCUUAAAAAUUUAUUUAAUUUUUUAUUUACAUGUAAAUUUUAGAGGGUAUUUAAAAUUAUUUUAAAUAAAUAGUUUUAUUUUUUUUUUAUUCGCAGUAUAAAGUUUUAUUUAUUUAUGAAAUUAAGAAUUAUAAAAAAAUUAUAUUAUUGACAAAAUUUGUGCCAGCAGUUGCGGUUAUACAAAAAAUAUAAAUAAAUUUUAUUGAUUAGUAAUAAAAAGAUUUGAUUUAUUUAAAAUUAGAUUUAUAUGGUGAAAUUUAAAAUUUAAAAUAAUUAUAAUUGAAUUUUUUGAUUUUAUUAAAUUUAAGGUUUAAACUAGGAUUAGAUACCCUAUUAUUUUAAUUGUAAAAAUAUUCAUUUAAGUAGUAUUAGUUAUGACCUUGAAAUUUAAAAAUUUUGGCGGUAUUUUAGUCUAUUCAGAGGAACCUGUCCUAUAAUUGAUAUUCCACGAUAAAUUAAACUUAACUUAUUAAUUUGUAUAUCGUCGUUGUUAAGUAUUUUAUAAGAAUUUAAUAUUUAAGAUUUUAUAUAAGAAAUUAUUUCAGAUCAAGGUGCAGUUUAUAGUUAAGAAGAGAUGGGUUACAAUAAAUUUAUUUAUAUGGUUUUAUAUAUGAAAAUUUAUAGAUAAAGUGGAUUUGAUAGUAAUAAUAUUAAAAUUAAUUUUAUGGUUAAAGCUCUAAAAUGUGUACAUAUCGCCCGUCGCUCUUAUUAUAAAAUAAGAUAAGUCGUAACAAAGUAGAUGUACUGGAAAGUGUAUCUAGAAUGA
RNAcentral lists this non-coding RNA (782 nucleotides) under Oreodytes scitulus. Lineage: Eukaryota; Metazoa; Arthropoda; Insecta; Coleoptera; Dytiscidae. The record is from RNAcentral.